RNAcentral lists this unclassified non-coding RNA (236 nucleotides) under Hevea brasiliensis (rubber tree). Lineage: Eukaryota; Viridiplantae; Streptophyta; Magnoliopsida; Malpighiales; Euphorbiaceae. The record is from RNAcentral.
GGCUUUGAGGAUUUUUCAUUGCCUCUGCAAUUAUUGAUGCUGCAUCUGUCUCCAAUUAAUGUACUUGCAUCCAAUUUUGUGAUGAUCUCACUUUUGGCUUCAAGGUUGCUUGUCCUAUCUAGACCACAUUCAGGCUGCACCAACUUUGCAUUCUUAUCAAAGUUAGAAAAACCAAGGGGCUUUUGAAGAUAAUUGCAUUCUGAAGAACUUCCAACUCUUCUUCUCUUAUUUGUUUC